AUGGGGUGACUGCGUACCUUUUGUAUAAUGGGUCAGCGACUUAUAUUCUGUAGCAAGGUUAACCGAAUAGGGGAGCCGAAGGGAAACCGAGUCUUAACUGGGCGUUAAGUUGCAGGGUAUAGACCCGAAACCCGGUGAUCUAGCCAUGGGCAGGUUGAAGGUUGGGUAACACUAACUGGAGGACCGAACCGACUAAUGUUGAAAAAUUAGCGGAUGACUUGUGGCUGGGGGUGAAAGGCCAAUCAAACCGGGAGAUAGCUGGUUCUCCCCGAAAGCUAUUUAGGUAGCGCCUCGUGAAUUCAUCUCCGGGGGUAGAGCACUGUUUCGGCAAGGGGGUCAUCCCGACUUACCAACCCGAUGCAAACUGCGAAUACCGGAGAAUGUUAUCACGGGAGACACACGGCGGGUGCUAACGUCCGUCGUGAAGAGGGAAACAACCCAGACCGCCAGCUAAGGUCCCAAAGUCAUGGUUAAGUGGGAAACGAUGUGGGAAGGCCCAGACAGCCAGGAUGUUGGCUUAGAAGCAGCCAUCAUUUAAAGAAAGCGUAAUAGCUCACUGGUCGAGUCGGCCUGCGCGGAAGAUGUAACGGGGCUAAACCAUGCACCGAAGCUGCGGCAGCGACGCUAUGCGUUGUUGGGUAGGGGAGCGUUCUGUAAGCCUGCGAAGGUGUACUGUGAGGUAUGCUGGAGGUAUCAGAAGUGCGAAUGCUGACAUAAGUAACGAUAAAGCGGGUGAAAAGCCCGCUCGCCGGAAGACCAAGGGUUCCUGUCCAACGUUAAUCGGGGCAGGGUGAGUCGACCCCUAAGGCGAGGCCGAAAGGCGUAGUCGAUGGGAAACAGGUUAAUAUUCCUGUACUUGGUGUUACUGCGAAGGGGGGACGGAGAAGGCUAUGUUGGCCGGGCGACGGUUGUCCCGGUUUAAGCGUGUAGGCUGGUUUUCCAGGCAAAUCCGGAAAAUCAAGGCUGAGGCGUGAUGACGAGGCACUACGGUGCUGAAGCAACAAAUGCCCUGCUUCCAGGAAAAGCCUCUAAGCAUCAGGUAACAUCAAAUCGUACCCCAAACCGACACAGGUGGUCAGGUAGAGAAUACCAAGGCGCUUGAGAGAACUCGGGUGAAGGAACUAGGCAAAAUGGUGCCGUAACUUCGGGAGAAGGCACGCUGAUAUGUAGGUGAAGUCCCUUGCGGAUGGAGCUGAAAUCAGUCGAAGAUACCAGCUGGCUGCAACUGUUUAUUAAAAACACAGCACUGUGCAAACACGAAAGUGGACGUAUACGGUGUGACGCCUGCCCGGUGCCGGAAGGUUAAUUGAUGGGGUUAGCG
Molecule: ribosomal RNA, 1321 nt
Filed under: Escherichia coli
Lineage: Bacteria; Pseudomonadati; Pseudomonadota; Gammaproteobacteria; Enterobacterales; Enterobacteriaceae
Description: partial 23S ribosomal RNA
Rfam family: Bacterial large subunit ribosomal RNA
Source: RNAcentral